Long non-coding RNA from Monomorium pharaonis (pharaoh ant), 6102 nucleotides. RefSeq lists it as uncharacterized. Lineage: Eukaryota; Metazoa; Arthropoda; Insecta; Hymenoptera; Formicidae. The transcript is spliced from 4 exons. The record is from RefSeq and is a predicted model, not a curated record.
CUCCCCUAGAGGGCGAGAGCGCUGCGUUGCCAACUGCACGCGCACGUCGUUGCCGUGUCGUCGUAGACGACACGCUGCGGCGGCCUCGCGAAUGCCUCUCGGUUCCCCGAAUUUCCGAGAGGAACCGCCGUUGCCCGAUAGGACAAGUUUAAUAAGGCAAAGGCCUCGAGAAACCCAAUGUGAUGCCGUUUUGUUACAAUAUUUUAAUGUUAAUUUAAUCUGUCGGCGACGACAGACGAGCCUCGUCCGACUUCCGUCGAAUGUGUCGAACUCGAGACGAUACUCUUUUUUUUUUUUUUUCUUUUCCUAUUAUUCGAUAGACGUUUGAUUAUUAUAUUGAGGCUAUAUUGAAUUUGUUUCUGAAGAAAUAUUGUAUAACAUUAUUGAACGUCUAGCGAUUAUUUAAGAGACUCUUCUUGAAUAAAUGAUUAAUUCAUCGUAAUUUCCUACUAGACAAUCAAGUCUUUUUACAUUAACUUUUUCAAUCUAUACGUUUCAAUAAGUUUUUGAAUACUUACUACGACGAUAAAAAAACAUGCAAUAAUUAUUAUAAUAAAUGAAAUAGUGUAGUCUUUUUCCUAUCUCAAAAAAUUCACAAGAAUGAAAUUUUGAAAUUGUACUUAUAAAAUUCGCGACAACUCAACUGAUUUUUAACCAUCACGCGAUUACAUAAUCUACGGGAGCCCGACUUACGAAAUUCCUAAGGUCGCGAUAACGUGACAUCAAUUUAACAACCCGUUUCGACCGUUAAUUUCAAAGUCCCGGCGCCCCGGAUGGUCCCGAGGGGACACCGGCACUGGAGCCGUGGAGCCGGGACAGUGGUAGAAGGCUAUAGGUCCGGUCACGGCAAAGCUGUGCUCCUCAAUGUAAAGAGGGACACGUCCGAUGCGAUCUCGCGUCCCGCAAUGCGCGGAUGCAUCGUCGUCGUCGUCGUCGUCGAUGCGGAGCACGUCGGUCGAGCACGAGAUGACUUCGUUCCGGCGCUGCGCGCUCGUGAGAAACCGGCUGCCCGCGGCUCGAUACCAGAGGCGCACAUAUAUUUCCGUUGCUCCGUCAUCCGAUUUCCGGGCCGUGCAUCUCGCGCGCGAGAUGCAACGGGCGCCUGCCUGCCUGCAGCCUAUCGAUUCGCAGGCGUGGCUGGCGGCCGGCGCGGCGGCGUGACGAGCCGCACGAGACGUCGAGAUCGCGAGCGUUCUUCGCAGGCCGGACCUAUUUAAUUGGCAGGCCAAGCGCCGGCAAUCUUCCUUCAAGACACUCGUUGUAAGCUAAUUCGAUUAAUUCGCACUGCAGUUAACCCAGUAAAGCGAAAUGCUGGCCAGAGUUCGAGCUUCGAGCGAGUACUGCGGCAAAUUGGCGCCGUCUAUGUCCGCAUUAAUCUCGGAUUUCGCCCGUUGACGCGAACUCGAUGUAUGGAAGGAGAAUAUAUCAUUUGAAUGAUCACACGGGGUGGCAGAUUCUGCUUCCGCCGACAGAAUUUAUAGCAGACGUUCCGCGAAGAUCUAUUUUCCUUUUUACUCAUCUAUAAUUAAUGUCUGUACAUUCUCAAACGUCCGUACGUAUAAUUUGAAAAUUAAGUUUAAAAUUACUUAUAUUUAUAUAAAAAUCUAAUCGCAGGAUGUACGGUGUUUAAAAUCUUUUCAGAAUGACUGCAUUCAACGUGCCGCGAACGUUAAGCAAAGAUUGUAUACGCAUAAAAAAAUUAUAUAAUUAUAUGUAAAUGGAAUAAUAAAACACUGUAUCGUUUCCGUUCUCUUCUCCGGCCGUAUCGAUGGUAUAGAAGAAGUUUUACAGUUAAAUGCGCUUCUCGAAGAGUCCUCGCGUGAGAUGCGCGGGUUCUCUGCGAAGCAGUACCGUAUUCGGCCACGAUUACGCGUUUCGUGUGACAUUACAUUACCUUAACGGCGGCCUUCCGUCUCACUUCCACGUAAGAUGCGUUGGCGCGCCAUAUGUAACGCCUCCUCGGGAACGCGUUAAAUACGGAUCCUGUUAAGAAGUUUUACAUAGGGACGAACAUUUGUAUCCGUGUGCGCCGUAAAUAGCUGAAAACAGCUGCUUGUCUGUAAGGUGAAAUUUUGUUAAGAACAAGUAAACCACAAAAGACAGAACGUUACGAGAUUGCGAGAGUCAGAUCGCGUGCUUUUAAUGCAGGUAAGAAAACGAGCCAUUUGGGGAAUAAGAUUGAAUGCCCCAUCAGCUCUAAGAAUAGAUAGUACACCUGUAAGUAGUGCACGGUGCGGUAAGUGAUUAACUUUAGUGUGUGGCCCACUCCGCCCUCAUCCAGUUAGUCGCUUUAGGCGCGUAUUCUGACUACUACCCUACCCUCCGUCGUAGGAGAAAGUCGAUAAGUGACUCACGGGUACGUACACGCCCGCGGCAACCUGGCAGGCUUAAUUAAUGAACAAGCAGCGUAUUCUGUGUACGUAACAUCGCGCUGUCUGUCCUGGCUUCCGUUGGCGUAAUAUAAUUAGUCGCAUCAUCAUUCUGCUCGUUCAGUAAUACCUCGCGCAAGAUGUGAGCAGAUUCGACUCUGCGAGACGUAAUGUGUUUUUCUAUGAUAUUUGUCUGGGUUGGGUAGUAACUAAUUUAAAAAAAAAUUAAAAGUUAAUUAAUAAAAUUGGAAAGUUAAUAGUUUUCGACUUAAUUAAAUGAGUUAAUUUUUAACUUAAAUUAAUUAUUUUAAAAAUACGUAAAGUUCAAUUUAUCAAGUUUGUUUAUAAGCCUAAAACUUAUCUAUGGAAAAGAAACCGAUUGUCGAUUCUGUUAAGAUAUAAUUUAUGUAAAUGUAUGACUGUACAAAUAUGACUAUAAAAUAUGACCUCAGAAAGGAACGUCAGUAUGUAUUAUUUUAAUCAUCUCGUAGGCGGUAUUUUUACGUUUAAACUUCCAAUGACGUAUGAACCUAACACUUGGGCAAAAUUAAAGCUCCCAUACGUCUCGCGGUGUCAACAGUUUCUAUCUCGCGAAGAUAACAGUGAAGGAAGGCAGCUCCUUCGUGCUGUCAACCUAUUAUCACCGAGAAACAGGAGUUACAUCACUGGGCCGGGUCAAACGCCCUUGCAUCCGGCGUGCGACACCGACGUUAGUAUCUUCGUGAUCGAGAGCGAGCGAGAGAAGGUGUGAUCGGCGAUGGCGACGGCGACGACGACAACGACGACGACGAGGUGUAGCCGGUCCUGCCUCGCUCGUUACCUUGUAUGGAUCAGCCUCGCGCGCCGUCGUCGUCCCGCAGAGAAGAUUAAAAAAAAAAGAUGAAAAAAAAAAAGAAAAGGUCGCACACGCGCUAUCGGCCCGCGCACGCUUGCGGUUUUGCGUGAUAACGCGGUUUCCCCGCGUAUACAAACGCCGGCAUACCCGCAGUUUUUGCCGUAAUUACUGCAGCAUGCCUGUGGCAUACACGACUCCCCGGCUGCGUGCACGCCGAGAUCAUUUUCAUCGAUGCCUCCGCGGAAAUGCUUCCCGCACAGUAACUUAAUCAAUUAUAUUGAUCAACAGUUUCAGCGAACGCGGAUACGAUUACAGGAACAGGAACGUUCUCCGCAGACGUGUGGCGAGAAAUAGCUAGGAAACAGCUGUCAGCCUAGCAGAGCUGCAAAUAAUAGAAAGAUUGUUAGUUUGAAUUAUUUGCAAUAUUUUGCAAAAUCUAGAGGGAAAAAAGAUCACCAAUUUAUUUCUUUAAUCACCUAAGCAGAUUAUGUUUUUAUCAGUUAUUAAUAUAGUGCAGUCUUUAAUUUGCGAGAAAUAAGCAGGUGCCGGUUUUAGAAGGCGUAUUACCAGUAUUGCCGAUCUUUUUCCAUUACAACUUGCAGUUUGUAUCGUUUACACGAGGCUAAAAGACUGCGAUGCGUCAGAGGCUUGACGUAAGACGAAAAGCCUUUCGUCAAUCUUCUUGUCGUGAGAGAUUGCAUAAUAUCCGACUGAAGAACAAUCCACGUGGAUAUACGCUUGGCUUAAUGCCUCACGUCUUAUUGUCCUUCGUUCGCCUUGCUAGCGGUGGCUCCGCGAGUGUAAACGCUAACCGCGGGUGACAUCACGUUCACUUUAAAGCCCGAUCCGAGCACGUUUCCGUCCACCCGGCAGGAAAAAGUAACGCUGGCGUCAUUAAGCGACUGCGUCGUGAUAAUUAGCGAUUGAUCUGUAUCAACCGAACGUCCAGUGCCGCCUUCAUCGCGCCGGGAACAACUCUCUCGCGAUACGCGCCCGAUAUGUUAUGCUGCAUGGCGGAAGUGUGUGACAUCAUCGCGUGUUUAAAGCUUUGGCUGCCAAAUCAAAAUUAAAGAAAUCAUUCUCAAACUAGAAUGAGCAUAAUUGAUCUUUACUUGAUGAAAAUCUUGGCUGAUAACUGCAAUGUUUUCAAUGUCUUCAUUUUCUUCUUUAUAAUAAAUUUAGAGAUGAUAAAGGCUAUGUAAGAAAAAAACGUUCUAAAAAAUAUUAAUUAGAGAAAAAUAAAAACUAGCUCAGUGAUAUAUUUGACGAAGAUUUGUAUUCCAUCUAAUCCAGAUUUGCGGAACGAUUACAUAACGUGUUGUUUUAUCUCGUGUAUAUAAAAUAUCAAUUUGAGAUCGCAGAAUAUGCAUACAGGAUAGUUAUUUGCAUAAAUAUAUCUUAUAAUGCCUUCUUUAUGUCGAUCACGCCAAGUUUUUAUUGCAGAAAAAGAGACGUUACUUAUUUGUCUUUUGUUACUACUAUGCGUUUUUAUUACAUUGAUACAUGAAAAGAACAAUUUUGAAAUGCAGAUCUAAAGAUAAUUAUAUUUGACUCUUAAGCUAUAUGCUAGAAUGUCAAAACUUUUUUCUUUUUAAUACAAAAACAUAAUCCAGUUGAUUAAUCAAUGAAAGCUCAUUCGGAUCAUCUCAUGUACAUUUAGAUAGAUGCUGUUAAAUGCGCUGUUAAAGAUUAAGCUCUUAGUUUUUUUUAAUCGAACUCAAUCCAAUCUUGAUGAUGCGAAUCUAGACAGCCACGGCCUAAGUUGUUAACCGCUUUAACCAAGCUCAGUAUUGCCACUAAGUGUUAACCUUCAAGCUUUAAUGUCAGACCUAGUCGAUCGCGGGCCGGCAUAUGUGCCGCGAAUGCCGAAUUCGCACCUGGUAACAGACGAACCCGCGACACUCUGUGUACGCAUGUCACAACGCGGGGAGGGUGAGCAUGAGUCAUGAUUAUCGACCUUGAUGGACGUGGUGCGUGUUCCCAUCCCCAACGUGGUUCUACGGAAUUUCUGUGCGCGAUGGAACAAGGAGCCGCGCGCGAAGCGCACCUCGCAAUAAAGUGAUUGUGAUAAGGGAAGGUUUUUGUUCGAGGCUACCCCUGAGUCAGAACCGUUGAGUCACCGUCAAAACGAUCGAUAUCGUCUAUAUAUAAGCGUCAUAGCGAGUAUCGCGUGCGGUUUCCAUUUCUGCGGAUGAUACUGAAACGGCUAAGCCAAUUGCGACCCGUGACGAUUAUCUCUAGACUUCUGAUUGCUCCUACGACAUUUUCUUAAUCGCAUAUGUCAAAAAUAAUGUGCGAUUGGCGAGUGACGAGAGAACCCAGGCUUGAACAGGCCAGACCUUGCCCCCCUGGUAUUUUAUUGAUCCUAAGAAGGUGAACGACAACUGAUACGCUUAAAUGCUUCCGCGGGCGUAUGCCCCCAAUCCAUUCGUCUCAUUACUGAUGUAAUCGAGCAGUCGAGAGUUAAGAUAUGUCAUUAUGUGCUGAAGCAUUAAGCUUCCAAAAGGUUCCGAUUACAGUGACAGGCGAAAUCGUGCGACUCGCUGCUACUGCAGCAACUUUUUUUUUUUGAGAUCCUGUCUCUCUCAUAUCCAGGACAAGAUUUUGAUAUAUGGCAACUUUCUCGUGAGAUCGAACGAUACGCAGGUUCGACAAUGUUCACAUGCUCGCCGUAAAUGGCUUCGUUUUCCGGAGGUCGCCGAUAUGUAUACAUCGCGACGAAGGAGAACGAAGUUAAUAAGUCGCUCGACAUCCAAUUCGGAGGCGGAGGCAGGAUUACAUUUACUAUCACCUUGGAACAGAAGAGAGUGCGUUCAUGAAUCCCUGUUAAGCAUCUUCGAUGUAUAUAACAGAAUCCAACAGUUUAUCACGUAAUUAUAACGUAGAUUAAGAUUGGAA